Molecule: ribosomal RNA, 253 nt
Filed under: uncultured bacterium
Lineage: Bacteria
Description: partial 16S ribosomal RNA
Rfam family: Bacterial small subunit ribosomal RNA
Source: RNAcentral
UACGGAGGGUGCAAGCGUUAUCCGGAUUCACUGGGUUUAAAGGGUGCGUAGGCGGGUAAGUAAGUCCGUGGUGAAAUCUCUGAGCUUAACUCAGAAACUGCCGUGGAUACUAUUUGCCUUGAAUAUUGUGGAGGUGAGCGGAAUAUGUCAUGUAGCGGUGAAAUGCUUAGAUAUGACAUAGAACACCAAUUGCGAAGGCAGCUCACUGCACAAUCAUUGACGCUGAGGCACGAAAGCGUGGGGAGCAAACAGG